RNAcentral lists this ribosomal RNA (254 nucleotides) under uncultured bacterium. Its description in RNAcentral is "partial 16S ribosomal RNA". It matches the Rfam family "Bacterial small subunit ribosomal RNA", at positions 524 to 776 of the family's 1533-position model. The record is from RNAcentral.
UACGUAGGGGGGCAAGCGUUGUCCGGAAUUAUUGGGCGUGAAGAGCGCGUAGGCGGUCCGAUAAGUCGGCUGUGAAAGUCAGGGGCUCAACCCUUGAAAGCCGGCCGAUACUGUCGGACUAGAGUCCGGAAGAGGCAAGUGGAAUUCCUGGUGUAGCGGUGAAAUGCGCAGAUAUCAGGAAGAACACCCGUGGCGAAAGCGGCUCUCUGGAACGGUACUGACGCUGAGACGCGAAAGCGUGGGGAGCGAACAGG